RNAcentral lists this ribosomal RNA (95 nucleotides) under Methanobacteriota archaeon. The record is from RNAcentral. Lineage: Archaea; Methanobacteriati; Methanobacteriota.
GUGCACGGCCAAAGCGGAGGGGUAAUACCCGGUCCCAUAUCGAACCCGGAAGUCAAGUCCUCCUGCGUCGUUUACUGUACUGUGGUGCGAGAGCC